UUACAAUGGGCGGCACAGAGGGAAGCCAGGUGGCGACACCGCGCGGAACCGAAAGCCGUUCUCAGUUCGGAUUGGAGUCUGCAACCCGACUCCAUGAAGCUGGAUUCGCUAGUAAUCGCGCAUCAGCCACGGCGCGGUGAAUACGUUCCCGGGCCUUGUACACACCGCCCGUCAAGCCAUGAAAGCCGGGGGGUACCUGAAGUGCGUAACCGCAAGGAGCGCCCUAGGGUAAAACUGGUGAUUGGGGCUAAGUCGUAACAAGGUAUC
This 267-nucleotide ribosomal RNA is filed under the name uncultured bacterium. RNAcentral describes it as "partial 16S ribosomal RNA". It matches the Rfam family "Bacterial small subunit ribosomal RNA", at positions 1225 to 1500 of the family's 1533-position model. The record is from RNAcentral.